Molecule: ribosomal RNA, 484 nt
Filed under: uncultured bacterium
Lineage: Bacteria
Description: partial 16S ribosomal RNA
Rfam family: Bacterial small subunit ribosomal RNA
Source: RNAcentral
AUUGAACGCUGGCGGCAGGCCUAACACAUGCAAGUCGAGCGGAUGAAGGGAGCUUGCUCCUGGAUUCAGCGGCGGACGGGUGAGUAAUGCCUAGGAAUCUGCCUGGUAGUGGGGGAUAACGUCCGGAAACGGGCGCUAAUACCGCAUACGUCCUGAGGGAGAAAGUGGGGGAUCUUCGGACCUCACGCUAUCAGAUGAGCCUAGGUCGGAUUAGCUAGUUGGUGGGGUAAAGGCCUACCAAGGCGACGAUCCGUAACUGGUCUGAGAGGAUGAUCAGUCACACUGGAACUGAGACACGGUCCAGACUCCUACGGGAGGCAGCAGUGGGGAAUAUUGGACAAUGGGCGAAAGCCUGAUCCAGCCAUGCCGCGUGUGUGAAGAAGGUCUUCGGAUUGUAAAACACUUUAAGUUGGGAGGAAGGACAGUAAGUUAAUACCUUGCUGUUUUGACGUUACCAACAGAAUAAGCACCGGCUAACUUCGUG